This 381-nucleotide ribosomal RNA is filed under the name uncultured eukaryote. RNAcentral's name for it is "partial 18S ribosomal RNA". It matches the Rfam family "Eukaryotic small subunit ribosomal RNA", at positions 592 to 976 of the family's 1831-position model. The record is from RNAcentral.
CAAUAGCGUAUAUUAAAGUUGAUGCGGUAAAAAAGCUCGUAGUUGGAUUUCUACCGAAGAUAGCCGGUCGGGUCUUCGACCUUGUAUCUGGUUUUGUCUUUGGUAUCCUCAUAGGGAACGUUUCUGCGCUUUAUUGCGUGGUGCGGUAUCUAUGACUUUUACUUUGAGGAAAUUAGAGUGUUCACGGCAGGCAAACGCCUUGAAUAUAUUAGCAUGGAAUAAUAACAUAGGAUCUUCGUCCUAUUUUGUUGGUUUCUAGGGCUAAGAUAAUGAUUAAUAGGGAUAAUUGGGGGCAUCUGUAUCAACGCGUCAGAGGUGGAAUUCUUGGAUUGCGUUGCGACAAACUACUGCGAAAGCAUUUGCCAAGGAUGUUUUCAUUGA